GUGAGGAAUAUUGGUCAAUGGGCGGGAGCCUGAACCAGCCAAGUCGCGUGAAGGAAGAAGGAUCUAUGGUUCGUAAACUUCUUUUGCAGGGGAAUAAAGUGCAGGACGUGUCCUGUUUUGUAUGUACCCUGAGAAUAAGGAUCGGCUAACUCCGUGCCAGCAGCCGCGGUAAUACGGAGGAUCCGAGCGUUAUCCGGAUUUAUUGGGUUUAAAGGGUGCGUAGGUGGUUUGAUACGUCAGCGGUGAAAGUUUGCAGCUUAACUGUAAAAAUGCCGUUGAAACUGUCGGACUUGAGUGUAAAUGAGGUAGGCGGAAUGCGUGGUGUAGCGGUGAAAUGCAUAGAUAUCACGCAGAACUCCGAUUGCGAAGGCAGCUUACUAAGCUACAACUGACACUGAAGCACGAAAGCGUGGGGAUCAAACAGGAUUAGAUACCCUAGUAGUCC
This 445-nucleotide ribosomal RNA is filed under the name uncultured bacterium. RNAcentral's name for it is "partial 16S ribosomal RNA". It matches the Rfam family "Bacterial small subunit ribosomal RNA", at positions 354 to 796 of the family's 1533-position model. The record is from RNAcentral.